AGCCAGCUGGAGCUUACCUGUGUCACGUGACCUGGCAUUGGAGGUCUGCUCCACUGCCACGUUUUAGAACGGCUUGGAUCUGAAGAAGUAUCGAAUUCUUUAUAUGACUAAAUCGCCCUUCGUGCCUUUUUUUUUUGGUAGAAACAAGAGCCAGAGCUUUCAUUAAAUAGCUAAACCGUAGUACAUACCAGUUAUAUAGAUAAAAGAAAGGAAAACAACACUACUACCAGUUAUACACAGACUGAAACGAAAGUGAAAACCAACAAUGAU
Molecule: long non-coding RNA, 270 nt
Filed under: Elaeis guineensis (African oil palm)
Lineage: Eukaryota; Viridiplantae; Streptophyta; Magnoliopsida; Arecales; Arecaceae
Description: long non-coding RNA (EGUI_LNC019419)
Source: RNAcentral